CAGUCGCCGCGGUAAUACAGAGGGUGCGAGCGUUAAUCGGAUUUACUGGGCGUAAAGCGUCCGUAGGCGGCUUCUUAAGUCGGAUGUGAAAUCCCUGAGCUUAACUUAGGAAUUGCAUUCGAUACUGGGAAGCUAGAGUAUGGGAGAGGAUGGUAGAAUUCCAGGUGUAGCGGUGAAAUGCGUAGAGAUCUGGAGGAAUACCGAUGGCGAAGGCAGCCAUCUGGCCUAAUACUGACGCUGAGGUACGAAAGCAUGGGGAGCAAACAGGAUUAGAUACCCCCGUAGUCCCUGUCUCUUAUAC
Molecule: ribosomal RNA, 301 nt
Filed under: uncultured bacterium
Lineage: Bacteria
Description: partial 16S ribosomal RNA
Rfam family: Bacterial small subunit ribosomal RNA
Source: RNAcentral